Molecule: ribosomal RNA, 301 nt
Filed under: uncultured bacterium
Lineage: Bacteria
Description: partial 16S ribosomal RNA
Rfam family: Bacterial small subunit ribosomal RNA
Source: RNAcentral
CAGCAGCCACGGUAAAACGAAGGGGGCUAGCGUUGUUCGGAUUUACUGGGCGUAAAGGGCGCGUAGGCGGACUGAUAAGUCAGGGGUGAAAUCCCAAGGCUCAACCUUGGAACUGCCUUUGAUACUAUUUGUCUUGAGUUCGAGAGAGGUAAGUGGAACUGCGAGUGUAGAGGUGAAAUUCGUAGAUAUUCGGAAGAACACUAGUGGCGAAGGCGAUUCACUGGCCCGUUACUGACGCUGAGGCGCGAAAGCGUGGGGAGCAAACAGGAUUAGAUACCCCCGUAGUCCCUGUCUCUUAUAC